Non-coding RNA from Pelobates cultripes (western spadefoot toad), 404 nucleotides. Lineage: Eukaryota; Metazoa; Chordata; Amphibia; Anura; Pelobatidae. The record is from the annotation of a GenBank genome assembly.
CAGUUACCAGGUUCCCGUUUGCAUAAUUGCUGCUCAGCACAAACCCUCCUGUGGAUUUGGUUGCUGCUCGGCACAACUUUUCCUGUCUGAACAGUAAAUUCCAUGAAUCACAUUUUUAUAAGCGGAUGAAUACGUGACAAUUCUCUACUUAGUGAAUACAGUUAAAAACACACUCUCUGUGCAUGACUUUAGGAAACUGAUGACUUCAAACAGGGGAUUUUUAUGAAUCGCAAUAGGCAGUUUUAUCAGGUUUUCAUGGAAAUGUUCUGAUAAAAGUGAGAUGGGGCGCAGAGUUAGAGACGGGGUAAGUGUAGGGCACAGUGAUAUGGGAUGGAGGUAGUGACCAUGGUAUAGUCAGAUAGGAAGAGGGAGCACAGGAGUACAAUGGGAUACAUAGGUUAGAG